AUACGGAGGGUCCAAGCGUUAUCCGGAUUCAUUGGGUUUAAAGGGUCCGCAGGCGGGAAAAUAAGUCAGUGAUGAAAGCCUACAGCUCAACUGUAGAACUGCCAUUGAUACUGUUUUUCUUGAGUAUAGAUGAAGUGGGCGGAAUAUAUCAUGUAGCGGUGAAAUGCAUAGAUAUGAUAUAGAACACCGAUUGCGAAGACAGCUCACUAAACUAUUACUGACGCUCAGGGACGAAAGCGUGGGUAGCAAACAGGAUUAGAAACCCUAGUAGUCC
This 274-nucleotide ribosomal RNA is filed under the name uncultured bacterium. RNAcentral describes it as "partial 16S ribosomal RNA". It matches the Rfam family "Bacterial small subunit ribosomal RNA", at positions 523 to 796 of the family's 1533-position model. The record is from RNAcentral.